This 243-nucleotide long non-coding RNA is filed under the name Mytilus galloprovincialis (Mediterranean mussel). The record is from RNAcentral. Lineage: Eukaryota; Metazoa; Mollusca; Bivalvia; Mytilida; Mytilidae.
CUGCCCUUCCACGAAAUAUUUAAUUAGAAUUUUUUUAAAUGUUUAAGAAUUUUCGAAAAUUCUACCUGACAACCGAUCAGACAAUAGUUUUAAGUUGAAUCAAUGCAGACAAGAUCAUUAACUGAUGCUCAUUAGCUAGUAGAUACAUUUGUCUUUUAAAAUACAACUGACAAAUAAGGAUCGUAAUAGUGCUAUGUGGAUAAAUUUAUCGGUUUUCAAGAGCAAAAUUGGCAGCGCGUCAUC